This 2297-nucleotide unclassified non-coding RNA is filed under the name Arthroleptis tanneri (Tanzania screeching frog). RNAcentral describes it as "partial contains 12S ribosomal RNA, tRNA-Val, and 16S ribosomal RNA". The stretch from base 891 to 2297 matches the Rfam family "Bacterial large subunit ribosomal RNA", at positions 1 to 2622 of the family's 2925-position model. The record is from RNAcentral. Lineage: Eukaryota; Metazoa; Chordata; Amphibia; Anura; Arthroleptidae.
AGCAGUGAUAAACAUUGACAGUAAGCGACAGCUUGAUUCAGUUAAAGUACAAAAAGCCGGCCAACCCGGUGCCAGCCGCCGCGGCUACACCAUUGGGCUUAAGUUAAUGGCCACGGCGUUAAGAGUGUUUAAAGAACAUAAUAAUUUAGAGCUAAAUUUGACCCAAACUGUAAUACGUAUGGCCCACAGAAACACAAAACGAAAGUUACUCUAAUAUUCACUUGAACCCACGACAAUUAAGAAACAAACUGGGAUUAGAUACCCCACUAUGCUUAAUCGUAAAAUAUACUACUUACACCCCUUAAUCGCCAGAGUACUACGAGUAACCAACUUAAAACUCAAAGGACUUGACGGCGUCUCACCUACCUAGAGGAGCCUGUUCUAUAAUCGACAUCCCCCGAUACACCUAACCACUCUUUUGCUAAUCAGUCUGUAUACCUCCGUCGCAAGCUUACCAUAUGAGUGUCAAUUAGUGAGCAUAAUGAUCCCUACAUCAACACGUCAGGUCAAGGUGCAGCCUACAAAGUGGAAAGAAAUGGGCUACAAUUUCUAAUCUAGAACACACGGAUAGUCAUAUGAAAAAUGACAAUGAAGGAGGAUUUAGAAGUAAGGGGCAAAUAGAGUGUCCCCCUUAAUCCAGCAAUGAGACGUGUACACACCGCCCGUCACCCUCUUCGAUUAAAUAAUUUACUGUUUAUAACACUAUAUCCCGCUAAAGAAGAGGCAAGUCGUAACAUGGUAAGUAUACUGGAAAGUGUACUUGGAAUAACAAAAUAUAGCUUAACCAAAGCACUUCGCUUACACCGAAGAGAUACCUGUUCAAACCAGACUAUUUUGAGCCACAGACUCCGCCCGUAAACAUUUAAUUUAUACUUUAACAUAAAACAUUUAAACAACCCAGUAAAGGUGAUUGAAAACUUAAUAAGAGCCAUAUACACAGUACCGCAAGGGAAAAGUGAAAUAGAAAUGAAAUAAACCAAAAGCCAAUAAAAGCAGAGAUUAAUACUCGUACCUUUUGCAUCAUGGUCUAGCUAGUCUCAACAAGCAAACUAUAUUAUUCAGCUUGUACCCCCGAAACCCGGCGAGCUACUUAAAAACAGCUAUUAGAGCCAACCCGUCUCUGUUGCAAAAGAGUGGGAAGAUUUUUAAGUAGAGGUGAUAUGCCUACCGAGCCAGGAGAUAGCUGGUUGCUCAAGAAAAGAACCUCAGUUCUUCCUCAAAUUUUUAAAUAGCACUAAAUAUACAAUUUGAGAGCUAUUCAAAUAUGGUACAGCCUAUUUGACACUGGGUACAACCAAAAACUGAGGGUAAUGUAAUUUCCCACCACCUGAGUCGGCCUAAAAGCAGCCACCUUUCAUAAAUAGCGUUAUAGCUUGACUAAAAAAUUAUUUAAAUACCUACCGCCACACAAAACCCCACCCCGAUAUUAAGCACUAUUAUAACUUAUAACUGUUAUUAUGCUAGAACUAGUAACAAGAAAAUUUUCUCCUGAAUGUAAGUAUACAUCAAACAUGAUUUUUACUGCUAUAAAUGUAGUACCUCCCCUAGAAACCCCUACUAACUUUAUUAUUAAACUUACACAAGAACACUACAGGAAAGAUUAAAACAAAAAGAAGGAACUCGGCAAACCUUAGUCUCGCCUGUUUACCAAAAACAUGGCCUGUUUACCAAAAACAUCGCCUGUUUACCAAAAACAUCGCCUGGUUGUUUACCAAAAACAUCGCCUCUUGAUUAAUAUAAGAGGCCUAGCCUGCCCAGUGAUUAUUUCAACGGCCGCGGUAUCCUAACCGUGCGAAGGUAGCACAAUCACUUGUUCUUUAAAUAAGGACUAGUAUGAACGGCAUCACGAAGACUAUACUGUCUCCUUUCUACAAUCAGUGAAACUGAUCUUCCCGUGAAGAAGCGGGAAUUACUUUAUAAGACGAGAAGACCCCAUGAAGCUUCAAAUUAAAUAUCAAUUGCUACCUCAAAACCACCUUAACUUAGCAGACCUGAUUAUUAAUUUUAGGUUGGGGCGACCGCGGAGUAAAACAAAACCUCCACAAUGAAAAGGCCUAACCCCCUAAUACAAGAACAACAACUCUAACAAUCAAAACAUUGACAUAACUUGACCCAAAUCUUUGAUCAAUGAACCAAGUUACUCUGGGGAUAACAGCGCAAUCCAUUUCAAGAGCCCCUAUCGACAAAUGGGUUUACGACCUCGAUGUUGGAUCAGGGUGUCCCAGUGGUGCAGCCGCUACUAAAGGUUCGUUUGUUCAACGAUUAAAACCCUACGUGAUCUGAGUUCAGACCGGAGA